UACGGGGGGAGCAAGCGUUGUUCGGAUUUACUGGGCGUAAAGGGCGCGUAGGCGGCCACCGCAAGUCGACUGUGAAAUCUCCGGGCUUAACCCGGAAAGGUCAGCCGAUACUGCGGGGCUAGGGUGCAGAAGGGGCAACUGGAAUUCUCGGUGUAGCGGUGAAAUGCGUAGAUAUCGAGAGGAACACCUGCGGCGAAGGCGGGUUGCUGGGCUGACACUGACGCUGAGACGCGAAAGCGUGGGGAGCGAACAGG
Molecule: ribosomal RNA, 254 nt
Filed under: uncultured bacterium
Lineage: Bacteria
Description: partial 16S ribosomal RNA
Rfam family: Bacterial small subunit ribosomal RNA
Source: RNAcentral